CCUACGGGAGGCAGCAGUGAGGAAUAUUGGUCAAUGGUCGGGAGACUGAACCAGCCAAGCCGCGUGAGGGAUGAAGGUACUGAGUGUUGUAAACCUCUUUUGUCAGGGAACAAAGGCGGGCACGUGUCCCCGGAUGAGUGUACCUGAAGAAUAAGCAUCGGCUAACUCCGUGCCAGCAGCCGCGGUAAUACGGAGGGUGCAAGCGUUACUCGGAAUUACUGGGUGUAAAGGGCGCGUAGGGGGGAUAGCAAGUCAGUUGUGAAAUCCUAGGGCUUAACCAUAGAACUGCAAUUGAUACUGGCAGUCUAGAGUAUAGUAGAGGUAGGUGGAAUUCGUGGUGUAGCGGUGAAAUGCGUAGAGAUCACGAAGAACACUGAUUGCGAAGGCAGCCUGCUAGAA
This 399-nucleotide ribosomal RNA is filed under the name uncultured bacterium. RNAcentral's name for it is "partial 16S ribosomal RNA". It matches the Rfam family "Bacterial small subunit ribosomal RNA", at positions 338 to 734 of the family's 1533-position model. The record is from RNAcentral.